UGCAGCUGAAGACUGCAAUACUGGCACUUGUUCUAGUUGGGCUGUUUAUCAUUGCUUUAUUCUCAGUUGAUUCUGCAUUGUCUUACAUGUUGGCUCUAUUUUUGCGGAGAGCAGCAUGAUUCAAGAAAUAAGAUUUGAUUUUCUGGCAUCAGGCGAAGUCAACUCAUGCUAAUGGUGCUCCAAGUAACUUUUGCUUCUGGCACAAGGCUAUGCCCGAAAAUACAAGAUUGGCCUAACUUGAGCAGCAUGAGACUUGCAGCUUUUUGAGCAUCUGCUGAAUAUAUCACCACAGAGAGGACCAUUAUGAGAGUAUAGGGUUAUAUUACCUCUAGAAGACUAGAACUACUGUUAUAUAUGCUGGAAUGACAAGUGUACGUCUAUGUCUAUUUGCAUUGAUACAGAGGAUGUUGAUUACUCAUUUGUGCACUUCCUUAAA
RNAcentral lists this unclassified non-coding RNA (436 nucleotides) under Hevea brasiliensis (rubber tree). Lineage: Eukaryota; Viridiplantae; Streptophyta; Magnoliopsida; Malpighiales; Euphorbiaceae. The record is from RNAcentral.